UGGGGAAUAUUGCACAAUGGGCGCAAGCCUGAUGCAGCAACGCCGCGUGAGCGAAGAAGGUAUUCGGAUCGUAAAGCUCUUUUCUUAGGGAAGAAAAAUGACGGUACCUAAGGAAUAAGCACCGGCUAAAUACGUGCCAGCAGCCGCGGUAAUACGUAUGGUGCAAGCGUUAUCCGGAAUCACUGGGCGUAAAGGGUACGUAGGCGGUUUUGCAAGUCAGAAGUGAAAGGCUACGGCUCAACCGUAGUAAGCUUUUGAAACUGCAAGACUAGAGUGCAGGAGAGGCAAGUGGAAUUCCUAGUGUAGAGGUGAAAUUCGUAGAUAUUAGGAGGAACACCAGUGGCGAAGGC
This 350-nucleotide ribosomal RNA is filed under the name uncultured bacterium. RNAcentral describes it as "bacterial SSU rRNA". It matches the Rfam family "Bacterial small subunit ribosomal RNA", at positions 355 to 722 of the family's 1533-position model. The record is from RNAcentral.